RNAcentral lists this small RNA (3980 nucleotides) under Pan troglodytes (chimpanzee). RNAcentral's name for it is "retained intron". Lineage: Eukaryota; Metazoa; Chordata; Mammalia; Primates; Hominidae. The record is from RNAcentral.
UCUUCAUAGUAACUCUAGGAGGUGAGAAUUUUUAUCACCGUUUCAGAGGUGAGGACUCGGUGUGGCUAAGGGGAUUGUCCAGGGUCACAUAAAGCUAGGCAGUAGAACGGGGACUGGAUGCAGCUUGCUUUGACUUUGUGGUUCGUGGACCUGACCACCCGUGCCCCUGGGGCUCCUGUCCAGGGUGGGAGACAGGCAGGCCUGGCCAGCAGGGUAGGCUGCCUGGAGGAGAAGGGACCUGUGCUGUCUUGGGAAGCUCUGUCCUGGCUGGUGUCCUAAGGUUCCUUGUUUAUCUUUUAAAAAUUAUCAUUGUGGUGUUUUUGUUUUUGUUUUUUUCCCUGUAAAGGCCUCAGUGUUGGCCAAGGAGAGGGGGAGGUCAUUCCAGUUGAAAUAGGACAGAGUCUUUCAAGCUGAGGUGAUCCCAGCUUCUCAUUCUGCAAGUGCAUUUUUGCCCAAUUUUGGGUGGCUGCCAGGGACCGAUGGUUUGAAGGGGCCCUGCCUCUUGCCCCAUCCCCUGCCCUGUCCCAGCCACUGUGAUUUUGCAUUUGUUCUUUGAACAUUCCUCCAGAAUGCAGGAGCCCUUCCCUCCUGCCUGUAUGACGUUCUGGAGUGGAACACACUCCCUGUUUUUUAUUUGAUUUUCCAGCAAAGGAAGUGACAUUCCAGUCAACCCGCUGGGCUUCAUGAUAGCUGUUCUGAGUGAGACUCGAAGGUCUGGGGAUGUCGACCACUGGCUAAUGUGAAGCCUGAGGAUUGUCUUUAAUAGCUGUACUAUUCCCUUCAGUACAGCUUUAAUAGCUGUACUAUUCCCUUCUUUUUCAACUCCAGCCUUUCGAUUACCAGGCAUUGGUAUUAGAUACUGUGAUGUGUGCAGUUACUUCUUGCAGUCCUUACCUUGACCUUGUGGCCUUGAAGUUCCUGGCACUCCCAGUUCCAGAUUAGAAGUCUGAGACCCAGAGAUAUGCAGACUGCCCAGUGCCACACAGCUAGGCUGUGGCAGGCAAGGGCCAGCCAAAGACCGUUAGGUCUAGAGCUUCUCUCCUACUCAUUUUUGCCUAAUGCUUAGGUCAGCACACAUUUAUGGAGUUUCUGCUGUAUACUAGGACUUAUAGAGCUCCUGCUGCAAACCUAGUCACUGGGGAGAGGUAGGAAAAGAAGAUUGUCAGUGUCUUUGGUAAUAUCAGCAUACUUAGAAAGGGGAAACUGGCUUGGAGAUGAGAGAGGAGGGAUAGUUGGGAGCCAAGCAUAUCCUGGGGUGUAGACUGGGGAGCUUGGUGUGUUUUUAGAUGAGGUGAAUGGACGGCCCUCUUUGCUGAGGACUUGGUGAAUGUUUGGAGCAGGGUAAGCUAGCAGUAGCUGGGUCUUUAUUCAGCACUUAUUUGCUGUGCAUCUUGUGUAUGGGCCUCUGAAAAUAAGGAACUGGAUAUAGUCCCAGGCCCUGCAUUUGGGGGAUCAGGUCCAGGAGGGAACUGGAGACAGGAACUGAGUUUCUAUCAAGGGGGAUGUCCUUGAGGCCUGCAUGUAGCGGGGAGUCCAGCAAUGCCACCCUGCACCCAGGGAAGUGGGGUUUUGCUGACCUUGUUAACUACUGUUAGCUCCUGGUUUCUCAUCCACCCACUUUACUCCUUUCCAGAUCUCCGGAUGGACCCAAGCCCUGCCGGACAUGGUAGUGUCCCACCUCUUUGGGAAGGAAGAAAUGCAGAGUAACGUGGAAGUGGUCCACACCUACCGCCAGCACAUUGUGAAUGACAUGAACCCCGGCAACCUGCACCUGUUCAUCAAUGCCUACAACAGCCGGCGCGACCUGGAGAUUGAGCGACCAAUGCCGGGAACCCACACAGUCACCCUGCAGUGCCCUGCUCUGUUGGUGGUUGGGGACAGCUCGCCUGCAGUGGAUGCCGUGGUGGAGUGCAACUCAAAAUUAGACCCAACAAAGACCACUCUCCUCAAGAUGGCGGACUGUGGCGGCCUCCCGCAGAUCUCCCAGCCGGCCAAGCUCGCUGAGGCCUUCAAGUACUUCGUGCAGGGCAUGGGAUACAUGCCCUCGGCUAGCAUGACCCGCCUGAUGCGGUCCCGCACAGCCUCUGGUUCCAGCGUCACUUCUCUGGAUGGCACCCGCAGCCGCUCCCACACCAGCGAGGGCACCCGAAGCCGCUCCCACACCAGCGAGGGCACCCGCAGCCGCUCCCACACCAGCGAGGGGGCCCACCUGGACAUCACCCCCAACUCGGGUGCUGCUGGGAACAACGCCGGGCCCAAGUCCAUGGAGGUCUCCUGCUAGGCGGCCUGCCCAGCUGCCGCCCCCGGACUCUGAUCUCUGUAGUGGCCCCCUCCUCCCCAGCCCCUUUUCGCCCCCUGCCUGCCACACUGCGCCUAACUCGGUAUUAAUCCAAAGCUUAUUUUGUAAGAGUGAGCUCUGGUGGAGACAAAUGGGGUCUAUUACGUGGGUGCCCUCUCCAAAGGCGGGGUGGCGGUGGACCAAAGGAAGGAAGCAAGCAUCUCCGCAUCGCAUCCUCUUCCAUUAACUAGUGGCCUGUUGCCACUCUCCUCCCCUCCCUCAGAGACACCAAACUGCCAAAAACAAGACACGUAGCAGCACACACUUCACAAAGCCAAGCCUAGGCUGCCCUGAGCAUCCUGGUUCAAACGGGUGCCUGGUCAGAAGGCCAGCCGCCCACUUCCCGUUUCCUCUUUAACUGAGGAGAAGCUGAUCCAGUUUCCGCAAACAAAAUCCUUUUCUCAUUUGGGGAGGGGGGUAAUAGUGACAUGCAGGCACCUCUUUUAAACAGGCAGAACAGGAAAGGGGAAAAGGUGGGAUUUAUGUCGAGGCUAGAGGAAUUUGGAACAACAAAUCUGUGUAGUUAACUUGAAGAAACCGAUUUUUAAAGUUGGUGCGUCUAGAAAGCUUUGAAUGCAGAAGCAAACAAGCUUGAUUUUUCUAGCAUCCUCUUAAUGUGCUGCAAAAGCAGGCAACAAAAUCUGGCUUUACAGACAAAAAUAUUUCAGCAAACGUUGGGCAUCAUGGUUUUUGAAGGCUUUAGUUCUGCUUUCUGCCUCUCCUCCACAGCCCCAACCUCCCACCCCUGAUACAUGAGCCAGUGAUUAUUCUUGUUCAGGGAGAAGAUCAUUUAGAUUUGUUUUGCAUUCCUUAGAAUGGAGGGCAACAUUCCACAGCUGCCCUGGCUGUGAUGAGUGUCCUUGCAGGGGCCGGGGUAGGAGCACUGGGGUGGGGCGGAAUUGGGGUUACUCGAUGUAAGGGAUUCCUUAUGGUUGUGUUGAGAUCCAGUGCAGUUGUGAUUUCUGUGGAUCCCAGCUUGGUUCCAGGAAUUUUGUGUGAUUGGCUUAAAUCCAGUUUUCAAUCUUCGACAGCUGGGCUGGAACGUGAACUCAGUAGCUGAACCUGUCUGACCCGGUCACGUUCUUGGAUCCUCAGAACUCUUUGCUCUUGUCGGGGUGGGGGGUGGGAACUCACGUGGGGAGCGGUGGCUGAGAAAAUGUAAGGAUUCUGGAAUACGUAUUCCAUGGGACUUUCCUUCCCUCUCCUGCUUCCUCUUUUCCCGCUCCCUAACCUUUCGCCGAAUGGGGCAGCACCACUGACGUUUCUGGGUGGCCAGUGCGGCUGCCAGGUUCCUGUACUACUGCCUUGUACUUUUCAUUUUGGCUCACCGUGGAUUUUCUCAUAGGAAGUUUGGUCGGAGUGAAUUGAAUAUUGUAAGUCAGCCACUGGGACCCGAGGAUUUCUGGGACCCCGCAGUUGGGAGGAGGAAGUAGUCCAGCCUUCCAGGUGGCGUGAGAGGCAAUGACUCGUUACCUGCCGCCCAUCACCUUGGAGGCCUUCCCUGGCCUUGAGUAGAAAAGUCGGGGAUCGGGGCAAGAGAGGCUGAGUACGGAUGGGAAACUAUUGUGCACAAGUCUUUCCAGAGGAAUUUCUUAAUGAGAUAUUUGUAUUUAUUUCCAGACCAAUAAAUUUGUAACUUUGC